UAACGCUUUUAGAAACCAGGUUAAUAAAAAUAAGAAGAUAUAUACUAAAUGACCUCUAAACUAAUU
RNAcentral lists this transfer RNA (66 nucleotides) under Notocomplana palta. RNAcentral's name for it is "tRNA-Phe". Lineage: Eukaryota; Metazoa; Platyhelminthes; Polycladida; Notocomplanidae. The record is from RNAcentral.